This 253-nucleotide ribosomal RNA is filed under the name uncultured bacterium. RNAcentral's name for it is "partial 16S ribosomal RNA". It matches the Rfam family "Bacterial small subunit ribosomal RNA", at positions 524 to 776 of the family's 1533-position model. The record is from RNAcentral.
UACAGAGGUCCCGAGCGUUGUUCGGAUUCACUGGGCGUAAAGGGUGCGUAGGUGGCAUGUUAAGUUUGAUGUGAAAGCUCAGGGCUUAACCCUGAAAUGGCAUUGAAUACUAGCGUGCUGGAGGUUUGGAGGGGGGACUGGAAUUCUCGGUGUAGCAGUGAAAUGCGUAGAUAUCGAGGGGAACACCAGUGGCGAAGGCGAGUCCCUGGACAACACCUGACACUGAGGCACGAAAGCCGGGGGAGCAAACAGG